UGUCCACGAUCUGAAGAUUGUUAGAAAAUCUCAAGAAUUAUCCGAAUGACUAAGUAAGUUGGGAACCUAGGGUCAAGUUCUAUCCAGGAUUGCUCAUAUAAGCCGUCGGACAUUGUCGGUCAGCUUCUGACUUUGAAAUCGGAAGCCGAUUGAGGUGAAAAUCAAAUAGAGACUGAUCUCGUAGUGCUAUCUUGUCUCAAGAGGCAG
Molecule: long non-coding RNA, 207 nt
Filed under: Elaeis guineensis (African oil palm)
Lineage: Eukaryota; Viridiplantae; Streptophyta; Magnoliopsida; Arecales; Arecaceae
Description: long non-coding RNA (EGUI_LNC061358)
Source: RNAcentral